CCUACGGGUGGCAGCAGUGAGGAAUAUUGGUCAAUGGGCGCGAGCCUGAACCAGCCAAGUAGCGUGAAGGAUGACUGCCCUACGGGUUGUAAACUUCUUUUAUAAAGGAAUAAAGUGAGGCACGUGUGCCUUUUUGUGUGUACUUUAUGAAUAAGGAUCGGCUAACUCCGUGCCAGCAGCCGCGGUAAUACGGAGGAUCCGAGCGUUAUCCGGAUUUAUUGGGUUUAAAGGGAGCGUAGAUGGGUUGUUAAGUCAGUGGGGAAAGUUUGCGGCUCAACCGUAAAAUUGCAAUUGAUACUGGAAGUCUUGAGUACAGUAGAGGUAGGCGGAAUUCGUGGUGUAGCGGUGAAAUGCUUAGAUAUCACGAAGAACUCCGAUUGCGAAGGCAGCUUACCAAACUGCCACUGACAUUGAUGCUCGAAAGUGUGGGUAUCAAACAGGAUUAGAUACCCGAGUAGUC
This 460-nucleotide ribosomal RNA is filed under the name uncultured bacterium. RNAcentral's name for it is "partial 16S ribosomal RNA". It matches the Rfam family "Bacterial small subunit ribosomal RNA", at positions 338 to 795 of the family's 1533-position model. The record is from RNAcentral.